CCCGGACGGACGUGAGUGUGUGUACCCAGUGCAUGGCGGGCCCCCUGCUUCCGUGCAGCCGAUCGCGAGUGCAAUGGGAUGCUUCGUUUUGAAAAUCCCUCCGUAUGGCCUCGCCUGAUGCGGAGGGCAUAUUCGGUGGGUUGUAUCGCAUAGCUGGGACACGGCAAGUCGGUGACCCUAUGUUAAAAACAUGCCGUUCAACUCUCUCCCUCCCCUCAGGCGGGCGAGAAGCGGCCUCUUAUGACGUCCCGUGCGUCCUCGGCGGCACUUGUGGCGGCACAUGUGCCCUACGUCGUCUGACCGGCCCUCAGGACCAUUGUGUGCUUACGGAUGCAGUGAAUCAGAUGGGCUUGGGUGCCCCAUGCGGCUCUCGUCCCGUGAAAGGCAUUUGGUGUUUGCGCACGCCGCGAGCGGGCAAACGAGGAAACGUAAGGCAUUUGGUGUUUGCGCAUGUCGUGAGCGGGCAAAUGAGGAAACGGAAGGCAUUUGGUAUUUGCCCACGUCGCGAGUGGGCAAACGAGGAAAGAACGGAAGCCAAUUUGGUGUUUGCGCAUGCCGUGGGUGGGCAAAUGACGGAACGGAAUAGAAUAAAUGACCUCCCACGUGCGUCCUCGUCUCGCCGUCUUGACGGAGAGAGAGAGCGACCGCCCGCGGGUGUCGUCCUGGAGCGUUUGCUACC
This 679-nucleotide unclassified non-coding RNA is filed under the name Adelonema wendlandii. Its description in RNAcentral is "partial external transcribed spacer". Lineage: Eukaryota; Viridiplantae; Streptophyta; Magnoliopsida; Alismatales; Araceae. The record is from RNAcentral.